Molecule: ribosomal RNA, 460 nt
Filed under: uncultured bacterium
Lineage: Bacteria
Description: partial 16S ribosomal RNA
Rfam family: Bacterial small subunit ribosomal RNA
Source: RNAcentral
CCUACGGGAGGCAGCAGUGAGGAAUUUUAGUCAAUGGACGGAAGUCUGAACCAGCCAUGCCGCGUGCAGGAAGACGGCUCUAUGAGUUGUAAACUGCUUUUGAACAAGGGUACACCUGAAUACGUGUAUUCAGCUGAAAGUACUGUACGAUUAAGGAUCGGCUAACUCCGUGCCAGCAGCCGCGGUAAUACGGAGGAUACAAGCGUUAUCCGGAUUUGUUGGGUUUAAAGGGUGGGUAGGCGGAUUGAUAAGUUAGAGGGGAAAUGUCCGAGCUUAACUCGGGAACUGCCUCUAAUACUGUUGAUCUAGAGAGUAGAUGAGGUAGGUGGAAUGUAUGGUGUAGCGGUGAAAUGCGUAGAGAUAAUACAGAACACCGAUUGCGAAGGCAGCUGACUAAUCUAUAUCUGACGUUGAGGCACGAAAGCGUGGGGAGCAAACAGGAUUAGAUACCCCUGUAGUC